Molecule: ribosomal RNA, 484 nt
Filed under: uncultured bacterium
Lineage: Bacteria
Description: partial 16S ribosomal RNA
Rfam family: Bacterial small subunit ribosomal RNA
Source: RNAcentral
AGUGAACGCUGGCGGCGUGCUUAACACAUGCAAGUCGAACGAGAACGGAUUAUAGCUUGCUAUAAUUGUCAGCUAAGUGGCGCACGGGUGAGUAAUGUAUAGGUAAUAUGCCUCUUACUAAGGGAUAACAAAUGGAAACGUUUGCUAAUACCUUAUACUCCUUAUUAACAGAAGUUAAUAAGGGAAAGAUUUAUUGGUAAGAGAUUAGCCUGUAUUGUAUCAGUUAGUUGGUGGGGUAAUGGCUUACCAAGACUAUGACACAUAACUGGUUUGAGAGGAUGAUCAGUCACACUGGAACUGAGACACGGUCCAGACUCCUACGGGAGGCAGCAGUGGGGAAUAUUGCACAAUGGACGGAAGUCUGAUGCAGCAACGCCGCGUGGAGGAUGACACAUUUCGGUGCGUAAACUCCUUUUAUAUGAGAAGAUAAUGACGGUAUUAUAUGAAUAAGCACCGGCUAACUCCGUGCCAGCAGCAGCCGCGG